AUUAUAAAUAUUUUAUAAUUUUUUUUACUGCCAUUAAAAUAAUUUUAAAAAAAUAUGUAUUCCGAAAUGUAACAAGGUAUUUGCUGAAGUUUCCUAAUCCUAUACAAUAAGGGUUGAAGAAUGUUUUUAUCUUGGCAGGAGCUUAUCAAAUCAAAUGAUUUUAAACGACUCCUAAAUAAAUUAUGGAAUUUGUGACAACAGAAAUUGUGAAUUGAUUAUCCUAUACAAUUCAAAUAAAAUUAUAUUGCAUUAAAAAAUUAAAUAAUAUUUAUAAUUAUGCCAUAAAGGUGUUUUAAACUAUAUUCCAAUUAUAUUCGUAUUUGUUUAUAUUUGUUAUAGAAUGUUUUAUUGAUUAUAUGCUUAUUUUCGCUUAUUCGUUGAAAAUUAUAACAUACAUUUUUUAUAAUUUUUUCCUUCUUUAUUCUUCCAUCAAUAUUGUAGCUAUAAUAUUCGAAUAAAAAUAUACUACUCUUAUUCCACAAUCUAUUUAUAUUA
Molecule: long non-coding RNA, 495 nt
Organism: Gordionus sp. m RMFG-2023
Lineage: Eukaryota; Metazoa; Nematomorpha; Gordioida; Chordodea; Parachordodidae
Exons: 3
Source: RefSeq, a predicted model, not a curated record